UAUACCCCACUAACAGCCAUGUGGAUGUUCAUACUGUCCUGUGAGUCACCUGCACAUCUGCUGUAGCAGCGUUAUGAGUGUUGAAGCAACAAAAAGCACUCAGGAACCUCCUGUAUUGCUGCCUGACCUGGAAGUAGAAGAGAAGAGGGCCACAGGUGGUCAGAUGGUGUACUGAACAUUUUAAUUUAAUUUAAAAAGUAAUGCAAGUACAAAAUGUUUAAAUUUGAUUAAAGUUUGGAUGAAAUCGAAGCGCUGAGUGCUGACCUCUUGGUUGAGCAGACAGUGGACCAGGAAGAUGAAGGCCCCCUGCUGGGAGCUGAUGAACUCAAAGACAGUAUACAGCAGAUUAUUAUUAGUGGGGAUGAAGAGGAUUAUCCAGGAGCAGCCGAGGAUAAAAAACUGGGCCAGGCUUUUAAACAUCACACUUACUAUGAGUUUCGUAUCAUUGGUGUUCGUCACCUGUAAGUUCUCAUUUUUCAGGCGUACCAGAGUGAGGAUCAAGAGGAUGACGGUGACGGUGCAGAUCAAAGCAUUUGUCUGCGCAGGGGGAAGAAAAUAUUCCAGAUGAAUUAAUCUGAACAGCUGCGUAGCCGGAACGGCUUUGAGCAUAUGCGGCUUUUAAUUCUUUUCUGUCCGCAGUACUUACUCCAAGAAUAAUGCACGCAAUUAUGAUCGUCGUUGUGACCACAUUUAUUCUCCAGCUGCAUAAAAAAAAAAACAUGUAAUGCAAUACAUAAAAAAAAAAAAUUAUAAUUUGUUUGCUAUCCCAAAUGGAGCAUUUUCCUAUCACAGCACAUCCCCAAAUGAUUUAUUCCUCUCAUACCACAUCAAUCUGCUAAGAAUUGCUUAUUAAUUAAGAAAAAAAGAAAGAAAAAAUGAAACGAGAUAGGUUUUUAUCUGUUUAUAGUUACAUUUAACAUCGUGGAAUGUCCCUGAAACGAGUUAGUUCCGGUUCUCACUUAUGUUAUAGCAGCUAUAAACAGUAAUUCCCUCACCAGCCUUUCUUUUGAAGUUAAUACGACAAAAAAAAUGAAAUUAAUAUGCGUUCGCCAUGCUACAGAGAAACUCCAAACUUUACACUAAAGCCUACAGUGUUACCUCUGACUGUUACGAAAGCGCCGACACUGGAGACUCCUUCCGUAAACGUUUAAUAACUUCCUCCUUACAGAAAACUUCACCACAUCACCGAUUACACGUGUUUUACGUAAUUAAGCUGUUGCUAUUGAAAUGAUUACGUAUUAGAAGAGCUGCUGUUAUAGAAAAUUAAUCAACACCUUCUGACCAAUCACGAUCCCGAACUGAACAGCGCUGUGGAAUAAAUGUGAAUGAAAUCCUGUAAUGAACCCGGUCUCCUGCACUCACUCGAAAACAUCUGCAUUCUUUAGCGCGUACGUGACUGCCAGAACCAGGGGGAAAAUGUAACCAAUCGCCAUUAACCAUUUCCAGCUAAUCCUGUCCAUCUGGUUUAAUCUGGCCUUCGAUAGGUUCUUCACAAAAAUGAAGAGCAGCACGGCUUCGAUGAACAUCCAUAUAAACGCUGAGAAGUAGAAGAAUGAUAGCAUGACCUCCAGCCAUACACACUUUUUCUGUAGAAAGAGAGAUGGGGAAAAAAUAAGCGUAAUAAUUAGGAUUUAUGCGAUUUCUUUUUACCUGCUGAGAAUGUGAAGAACGUAGACGGCAGCGCUCACCUGUACAGGGCCUGUAUUGACGGAGUAAUGAUAUCUGAUUUGAUCGAGAAUUUGAGCCAACAGAAGGUUUAUACACAGGUUUAUCAGAGCCGUGUCGGUCAUCUUUUUGUUACGACGACAAAAGGCGAGUGUGAGUACCGACAAACUCAGAAAUAUCAUUCCCACUGCUAUGUUCACUGUGCUGAGCAUCACCAAGGAACUGUAAAUCUGGAAAGAUUAAAAGAAGCAAUUUUAUUCAAUCUCUUCCCCUCUCUGGAAGACUCGUUUUCACAGUAUGCUCUUACAGAUCAUUCAGUAUCCACGCGACGCACUCAGUACAGCUCAUCAUUUCUCUUCUACACCUGAGUACCAACACGCCAUUAUUUUCAUAUUACAACAUGUCUCAUAAUCACUUAUUGCACUUAAACCACAGCAAUUUUACAAUGAUUACAUUCAUUCCUUCAUUCAUUCAUUCAUUCCGUCAUUCCUUCCUUCAUUCCUUCCUUCCUUCCUUCAUUCCGUCAUUCCUUCCUUCUUUCAUUCUUUCCUUCCUUCAUUCAUUGAUUCCUUCCUUCAUUCCUUCCAUCCUUCCUUCCUUCCUUCAUUCCUUCCUUCAUUCAUUCCUUCCUUUAUUCCUUCCUUCAUUCAUUCCUUCCUUCAUUUCCCUGGUCCUGAUGUGGAGCCUAUCCCGGGAACACUGGGUGGGACACCAGUCCAUCGCAGUGCACCAUGCACACACACACACACCUUCACACUCAUUUACACCCAAGGGCAAUUUAGUGUAACCAAUCCACACUGUAAAACCGGAUAAGUUAAUUUAACUUUUUAUAUUUAAGUGUAUUUGGCUUAAAGAAAUUGAUUUGUCAACUUUAAAAUUUUGAGGUAAUUAGUUUCCUUGAAUUUUUUUGAGUUAAAUGAAUUUAUCUGGUUUUACAGUGCACCUACUGAUUUUUUUGUUUUUUUUUGGGGGGGGAGGAAACCAGAGAACCUGGAGGAACCUCAGACAGGCACAGGGAGAAGACGUGGAACUCCACACACUCAGCAACCCGAGCUCAGAUUAGACCCGAGGAACCCCGGAGCCAUGAGGCAGCAACGCUAACUGUUGUGCCCCAAUGAUUAUAGUUUAUAACUAUAAAAGUAAGAUGCAUCAUAUUUGUUAUCCGUUUAUUGUUACAUUUCAUCUCGUAAACGGUCCGAAUAACAAAUAACGAACUUUGUGGUGGUAAAAGUAACUUCAUCACUCCACCCUGGUCACGCUGUAUUUUACUACACAGUGUUUUAUUCUUUUUUCCUGAAGAAACUUGCACUUGAGCUAUGGGCCUUGCUCAAGAGCCCAGAAGUGACUGCCUGAACUCACAACCAUCUGAUCAAUAGCCAAAAGCUGUACCUCUGGAGCCACCAUGUCCCCACUUGUACAAAAACGUGAUUGGUAUUACACUUUGUAGCAACUGCUAUGUUCAAGAAAGAAAAAACCCCAAAAAACAUAGUAACUCCUCCAAUCGCUACUGGGUGUGCUAACUAAUUUGCAGAGCUCCAUGUUUAAAGUUCGAGAUCAUCUGCUUUGAAACCAUGUCUUUUCUGCACAGUACUUCUACCAAAUAUCACUUCCCCAAAUCAUUUUCUGGGUUAGUCAUCGCCAAUCUCCACUGUGGAAGGGUUUGGUGAAGGCCUCCUCUGAGACUCAUGGAACCAACCACUGGCUCUAUUUCAAUACAGGAUAGUGCUUACAGUAUCCUGCUCUCUUCCCAUGAUCGGGUCGAGCUCAGCGAUGAGAGCGAAGGUACCCAGAUGACGACAAGAGCACACAGUGUGAGUGCUGUUUUUCUCUGUGUUCUUACAACCACCUUUGAACCACUCAGUUUCCUUCCAGUACACACAGGAGAGAAUGCCUUCAGGGUCCAACUCCUAGUGCGGAAGAAGAGGGAAUCAAAUCAAAUCUGAAAACUGGUUGUGUUUGUCUUAUUGAGAAAAAAAAGAGAGGCUAGGGGAAGGAAUGGCUGCGAUAACGAAAACAGUGUGUCCUCAAAUAUGGUCCAAAUGCAGCUAUCUGGGAUAUAUAUAUAUAUAUAUAUA
Long non-coding RNA from Ictalurus punctatus (channel catfish), 3740 nucleotides. RefSeq lists it as uncharacterized. The record is from RefSeq and is a predicted model, not a curated record. NCBI's taxonomy places the organism in Eukaryota, Metazoa, Chordata, Actinopteri, Siluriformes, Ictaluridae. The transcript is spliced from 3 exons.